UCGAACGUGAAGAUAGAGCAAUCUAUCUGAAAGUGGCGGACGGGUGAGUAACACGUGGGUGACCUGCCUCGGAGUGGGGGAUAACCAUGGGAAACUGUGGCUAAUACCGCAUGCGCUAUCGGCUUUGGGUAGCCGAAUAGUAAAGCUUUAGUGCUUCGAGAGGGGCCUGCGUCCGAUUAGGUAGUUGGUGAGGUAAUGGCUCACCAAGCCGAUGAUCGGUAGCUGGUCUGAGAGGACGAUCAGCCACACGGGAACUGAGAUA
This 262-nucleotide ribosomal RNA is filed under the name uncultured soil bacterium. Its description in RNAcentral is "partial 16S ribosomal RNA". It matches the Rfam family "Bacterial small subunit ribosomal RNA", at positions 62 to 326 of the family's 1533-position model. The record is from RNAcentral.